Molecule: non-coding RNA, 101 nt
Organism: Strongylocentrotus purpuratus (purple sea urchin)
Lineage: Eukaryota; Metazoa; Echinodermata; Echinoidea; Camarodonta; Strongylocentrotidae
Gene: Mir153
Product: microRNA mir-153
Exons: 1
Source: RefSeq, marked provisional
CCCGCCAGCCCGAUCAUUUUUGUGUUUAUGCAACUUUUGUAUUUUCACCGAUCAGAGUAGUUGCAUAGUCACAAAAGUGAUUGGGAGGGUUGGGCUCUAAC